GCCAGAGGGGAGGACGUGGGGCUAUCAGUCCAACUCCUCAGUUAAUAGCCAGGGAAACAGAAGCCCAGGGAGAUAAAGACGGUGGCAGAGGAGGAAUUCUUUCUUAGCAGAUCUUCCAUUCCUAAUCCAGGAUCAUUUCCAGGGCUCCCAGGUUCUCAAGAUGCUUGAAUCCUGGGACAAACACAGAGGAAGGAGCUCCUAAGGAUGGGGGCAGUGGUGAGGAAACAGGCCACUGAGACAGUGAUGGUGUUUGUAGGCAAAGAAGCUACUUGUAUUUGCCAACCACACCAGGAGGCCAGAACUCUUACCAAAACAGGAAUAGAAGACAUAGGGUGCAACCAUUUCUCCAGGCUGAAACAGAGCCCCUGAGGAAGGAGCAAAUCUGAAGUUCCCCUGCACCCAGGGCUUUGAUUCAGAUAUUGUUGGAGAGAGCAUUGCAUGGCUCAUGACUCACUAGGUGGUGGAUAAGCUCAUUGAGGAGAAAUCUUUUGCCACAUUUGGAGAAAGGAUUGAAGAGAAAUGAGAGCCUGGAUGUGAAGAAAACAUUAGGAAGCUGCAGCAGUAACCUAUGUGAGAAAUUAAGAGAACCUAAAUCAGAUCCGUUGGCCAUCAAGAUUUCACUCAUUUUGAGACCUAGAGAUUGGUGCUCCUGGAGCUGUGAAAUGCGUGGCCUCUGUAGCCCUGUGAAGGUCUUGUUUCUAUGGCGAUACAAGAGAAAGUCUUUGCAGAGUUGUUGCAGCUGGAAGUCUUCACUUACUUUAAGAGCUCAUUAAAGCUAGUGGAGCCUUCCAAACCUGAAAUGAACUGCUCCUUACAGAACUGCCAAAAGGAAGAAAUAGAAAAGAAAAAAGAAGCAAUAGGUCCAAAAAGUCAAGAGAAGCUAUGCUGUACCCUCAACACUCUGCCUAGAGAUUUCUUCCAUGAAAUAUCCUAGUUCACAUCUGCCUCCUGCAAACUACUAGGACAUGGACACUGCUCAGCCAAGUUCUGUGCCAAUUUGUAACAAGAAUGGCCUUUCCUCCUAUUUCCAAUAAGGCCCCAUCAGCAGAGGGAGGAGAAGAGGAGAAGCAGCUGGACAUCAGAGACUAUGGUUGGACAUUGGAGAGAAGCAGCUUGACUUCAAAGGGACGGCUUGAUGGCAUUGCUUCGGAGAGGAGUUCAGCCAGGGACAGCUGGACUCUAGGGGAAUAUUAUCUUCCCACACCAUCCACUUUUCAGCUCCCCUUCCCACUGAGAACCACUUUCAUUGGCAA
This 1253-nucleotide long non-coding RNA is filed under the name Homo sapiens (human). RNAcentral describes it as "HSALNT0375752". The record is from RNAcentral. Lineage: Eukaryota; Metazoa; Chordata; Mammalia; Primates; Hominidae.